GUCCUCCCUGUGCUCACCACAGGCUGUGUUCUUAUGCUGACUGUAUAUGGAAAGGAGACAGAGUAAUCCUACCCCCGUUCACAUAAGCCCAGGCCAUUGUGCCUAGUCUGUAAUGUGAAUGGGGAUACAUAG
RNAcentral lists this small nucleolar RNA (132 nucleotides) under Neotoma lepida (desert woodrat). Its description in RNAcentral is "Small nucleolar RNA SNORA51". It matches the Rfam family "Small nucleolar RNA SNORA51". Rfam says of the family: ACA51 is a member of the H/ACA class of snoRNA that guide the sites of modification of uridines to pseudouridines. Lineage: Eukaryota; Metazoa; Chordata; Mammalia; Rodentia; Cricetidae. The record is from Rfam by way of RNAcentral.